Molecule: small nucleolar RNA, 70 nt
Organism: Caenorhabditis elegans
Lineage: Eukaryota; Metazoa; Nematoda; Chromadorea; Rhabditida; Rhabditidae
Source: Ensembl
GAAUCUCAGACGGGGAAAGUUAAUCUUCACAAUAACUCAGUAGCAGAACUGGAUAUCACAUCACCGAUUC